Molecule: long non-coding RNA, 648 nt
Organism: Salvia miltiorrhiza (redroot sage)
Lineage: Eukaryota; Viridiplantae; Streptophyta; Magnoliopsida; Lamiales; Lamiaceae
Exons: 3
Source: RefSeq, a predicted model, not a curated record
CGUCGUCUUUUCCCCUCAAUAAAAGGGGCUCCAUUAGUUACCCAAUUCUUCACCCCUUAACACGUGAUUUUUUUUCCCACCUUCCAUCUUCUUCCCUGUUAUGCAAAUUUUUUAUUUUACUACAUCAUCAAGUUCUUCAUGACCGAGAGCAUCUAUUCACAAAAAGAAAAAAAGAAAGCUUGUACUUCUUCCUGUUAUUAACACACCCCAUAACUCAGCUUCAGCUGAAAUCCUUUCUCAUUCACAAUUUGGAGGAACCAAUUUAUUUUCAAGAGGUCCUACAAACGAGGAUAUUUAGGCUCUUGAUCAGCUGAGUUAUAUUGUUUGGAUUUUCUCCAAAUCAGAUUGAGCAGCUGGUGGUGACGUGCGAAGCUGAGGAAAGGUUGUUGCUGUAAUAUUGAAGAACACUCUGUUUUACUUCCGCUGAAAUAAAUUCACUUGGUGAAUAUAAUCUUAUGCCUAACUAUACUCUAAAUCGUUUUGAUCUGGAUUCCAUUUUCCAUCGUUUUCCCAAGUGAUUGUUAUUCUGCAUAUAUAUAUUAUAUGCCUAAUAUGAAAUGUUGUUUUGGGCUCAGACCUUCGAACUUUCGAUCCUGUUAGGGAGAACAAUUAUAUCAUAAUAUCAUGCUUAUUACCUUUGGAAUAUGA